Molecule: ribosomal RNA, 497 nt
Filed under: uncultured bacterium
Lineage: Bacteria
Description: partial 16S ribosomal RNA
Rfam family: Bacterial small subunit ribosomal RNA
Source: RNAcentral
GAUGAACGCUGGCGGCGUGCCUAAUACAUGCAAGUCGAGCGAACAGACGAGGAGCUUGCUCCUUUGACGUUAGCGGCGGACGGGUGAGUAACACGUGGAUAACCUACUUAUAAGACUGGGAUAACUUCGGGAAACCGGAGCUAAUACCGGAUAACAUGUUGAACCGCAUGGUUCAACAGUGAAAGACGGUCUUGCUGUCACUUAUAGAUGGAUCCGCGCCGCAUUAGCUAGUUGGUAAGGUAACGGCUUACCAAGGCAACGAUGCGUAGCCGACCUGAGAGGGUGAUCGGCCACACUGGAACUGAGACACGGUCCAGACUCCUACGGGAGGCAGCAGUAGGGAAUCUUCCGCAAUGGGCGAAAGCCUGACGGAGCAACGCCGCGUGAGUGAAGAAGGUCCUCGGAUCGUAAAACUCUGUUAUUAGGGAAGAACAAAUGUGUAAGUAACUAUGCACGUCUUGACGGUACCUAAUCAGAAAGCCACGGCUAACUACGUG